CGCCCAUUAGCUCAGUUGGUUAGAGCGCAGCAUUCAUAACGCUGAGGUCACAAGUUCAAAUCUCGUAUGGGCGACCA
RNAcentral lists this transfer RNA (77 nucleotides) under Halobacteriovorax marinus. RNAcentral's name for it is "tRNA-Met". It matches the Rfam family "tRNA". Rfam says of the family: Transfer RNA (tRNA) molecules are approximately 80 nucleotides in length. Their secondary structure includes four short double-helical elements and three loops (D, anti-codon, and T loops). Further hydrogen bonds mediate the characteristic L-shaped molecular structure. tRNAs have two regions of fundamental functional importance: the anti-codon, which is responsible for specific mRNA codon recognition, and the 3' end, to which the tRNAs corresponding amino acid is attached (by aminoacyl-tRNA synthetases). tRNAs cope with the degeneracy of the genetic code in two manners: having more than one tRNA (with a specific anti-codon) for a particular amino acid; and 'wobble' base-pairing, i.e. permitting non-standard base-pairing at the 3rd anti-codon position. The record is from RNAcentral. Lineage: Bacteria; Pseudomonadati; Bdellovibrionota; Bacteriovoracia; Bacteriovoracales; Halobacteriovoraceae.